RNAcentral lists this transfer RNA (82 nucleotides) under Polymyxa betae. Its description in RNAcentral is "tRNA-Ser". Lineage: Eukaryota; Endomyxa; Phytomyxea; Plasmodiophorida; Plasmodiophoridae. The record is from RNAcentral.
AGCCGUCGACGAGAUUUGAACUCGCGCGGGCAGAACCCAGUAGAUUUCGAAUCUACCACCUUGACCACUCGGUCACAACGGC